UGUCUGUUGGAGGACGGAUUUAUAAAAGAGAAAUCAAUAACCACAAAUUAGCUUUGGUCCUUCAUCAUUCAUUUGCCCUACUGCAUUGGAGAGCCCUUCCUUAAACACUGCUGCCUGUUAGAGUAAGAAAACAUCAUAUAGCCAGAAAACAGAUGGAAGGCCAAGGCUCUGAGACCUAGCCCAAGAGGGUUCAGUGAGAAGAAUUUCAGAAUGUGGCCUAGAGACUGUUUUUGUGGAAUUUUGGUGAAGAAUGUGACUGCUUUUCCCCUUGUCUGAAGAGUCUGCCUGAGUCUAAGGCUCAAGAGAACUAUACCAAGGGAAAAUAUGAAGAAUUAUUUACCACUGUAGUCCCUGAGUUUUAACAUCAAGUCUAACUUACAGCAGAGCUCCCAGGGACUAAACCACCAACCAACCAA
Molecule: long non-coding RNA, 416 nt
Organism: Mastomys coucha (southern multimammate mouse)
Lineage: Eukaryota; Metazoa; Chordata; Mammalia; Rodentia; Muridae
Exons: 4
Source: RefSeq, a predicted model, not a curated record